Molecule: transfer RNA, 72 nt
Filed under: Candidatus Daviesbacteria bacterium RIFCSPHIGHO2_01_FULL_40_11
Lineage: Bacteria; Candidatus Daviesiibacteriota
Also listed under: 1 other name
Description: tRNA-Arg
Rfam family: tRNA
About the family: Transfer RNA (tRNA) molecules are approximately 80 nucleotides in length. Their secondary structure includes four short double-helical elements and three loops (D, anti-codon, and T loops).
Source: RNAcentral
GCCCCUAUAGCUUAACGGAUAGAGCACUGGUCUUCGGAAUCAGUGGUGAGGGUUCGAUUCCUUCUAGGGGCG